Molecule: ribosomal RNA, 406 nt
Filed under: uncultured bacterium
Lineage: Bacteria
Description: partial 16S ribosomal RNA
Rfam family: Bacterial small subunit ribosomal RNA
Source: RNAcentral
AUUGAACGCUGGCGGCAGGCCUAACACAUGCAAGUCGAACGAGUGGCGGACGGGUGAGUAAUGUCUGGGAAACUGCCUGAUGGAGGGGGAUAACUACGGGAAAAGGUAGCUAAUACCGCAUACCAUCGGAGGUGACCAGAUGGGAUUAGCUAGUAGGUGGGGUAAAGGCUCACCUAGGCGAAGAUCCCUAGCUGGUCUGAGAGGAUGACCAGCAACACUGGAACUGAGACACGGUCCAGACUCCUCCGGUAGGCAGCAGUGGGGAAUAUUGCACAAUGGGCGCAAGCCUGAUGCAGCCAUGCCGCGUGUAUGAAGAAGGCCUUCGGGUUGUAAAGUACUUUCAGCGAGGAGGCGUUACUCGCAGAAGAAGCACCGGCUAACUCCGUGCCAGCAGCCGCGGUAAUAC